This 336-nucleotide ribosomal RNA is filed under the name uncultured bacterium. Its description in RNAcentral is "bacterial SSU rRNA". It matches the Rfam family "Bacterial small subunit ribosomal RNA", at positions 72 to 422 of the family's 1533-position model. The record is from RNAcentral.
AAGUGGAGCAAUCCAUGAGUAAAGUGGCGCACGGGUGAGUAACACGUGACUAACCUACCCUCGAGUGGGGAAUAACCUCGGGAAACCGGGGCUAACACCGCAUAAUAUCUACGGAUCAAAUGCGUAAGCAGCUUGAGGAGGGGGUCGCGGCUGAUUAGCUAGUUGGCGGGGUAAUGGCCCACCAAGGCAGUGAUCAGUAGCCGGCCUGAGAGGGCGCACGGCCACACUGGAACUGAAACACGGUCCAGACUCCUACGGGAGGCAGCAGUGGGGAAUUUUGCGCAAUGGGGGAAACCCUGACGCAGCAACGCCGCGUGGAGGAUGAAGCCCCUUGGG